CUAGUAUAAAUUUAUUCUUUAUUUUUGGUUAAAUAUAAUUUUUUUUUUUGGUUUUUAUUUUGUUUUGGGUAAAAUUUUGAUGAAUAGUGGUUUAAGGGUUAUAUUUUUAAGAUUUGGGAAGCGAAUUAGAUUAGUACCUAAUUAGUCAAAGUUUAAAAGUUCAGGAGUAAAGUGAAGUUUAAACUGAAAGAAUAUUGGCAGAUUUUCUAAAUUAUCUUUGGAGGUUGAGUAGUAAUUGAGAGCCCUCAUUGACUACUAUUUUUAUAGGCUCAUGUAUGAUCGUUUAUUUUGUUCUUAAGGGAUAAAAUGAUAAGAUUUUUAAUUUUUUAAAAUAGAUAUAUAUUUGGCAUAUGAAGUAGUUGAAUUUGACCUACAAUAAAUUUUGUUUUUGGAUUGUUGAUGUAGUGUCAGUAUGAAAUUGUAAAAGACAGUAAGGAAAUUUUUAUGUUUUCUUGAAGAGUAUUUAGAAGUGGUACAAAUCAUCCAUCAAUUGCCUAAAGG
Molecule: non-coding RNA, 501 nt
Filed under: Skrjabingylus chitwoodorum
Lineage: Eukaryota; Metazoa; Nematoda; Chromadorea; Rhabditida; Metastrongylidae
Source: RNAcentral